GACGAACGCUGGCGGCGUGCCUAAUACAUGCAAGUCGAGCGGACUUACAAAGCUUGCUUUUUAAGUUAGCGGCGGACGGGUGAGUAACACGUGGGCAACCUGCCUGUAAGACUGGGAUAACUUCGGGAAACCGGAGCUAAUACCGGAUAAUCCUUUUCUACUCAUGUAGAAAAGCUGAAAGACGGUUUACGCUGUCACUUACAGAUGGGCCCGCGGCGCAUUAGCUAGUUGGUGAGGUAACGGCUCACCAAGGCGACAAUGCGUAGCCGACCUGAGAGGGUGAUCGGCCACACUGGGACUGAGACACGGCCCAGACUCCUACGGGAGGCAGCAGUAGGGAAUCUUCCGCAAUGGACGAAAGUCUGACGGAGCAACGCCGCGUGAGUGAUGAAGGUUUUCGGAUCGUAAAACUCUGUUGUUAGGGAAGAACAAGUACGAGAGUAACUGCUCGUACCUUGACGGUACCUAACCAGAAAGCCACGGCUAACUACGUG
This 494-nucleotide ribosomal RNA is filed under the name uncultured bacterium. RNAcentral's name for it is "partial 16S ribosomal RNA". It matches the Rfam family "Bacterial small subunit ribosomal RNA", at positions 28 to 507 of the family's 1533-position model. The record is from RNAcentral.